GCAAAAUCAGUAGGAGCAGAAGUAGAAGGUAGCCGAGUCCCUGAAAUGGUGGGGCACAGGUUUAGGAGAAAUGGGCGUCUGGAGCUGAGGGGAUGACAGGAUAACCAGGUCACUACAGCUGCUGUGUCCAGAGGGCCACUGCACUCCAGCUGCAUCCUGCGCCGCUUUCCUGUUGCACGAGGUUUCUCUGCAGCCAUGGAGACACUUCCCUCCUUAUUUCUCUGUUUGAGUUUUCUUUAACUAAGACAGAAGCUUGCAUCCCUAGAUUAAAGGACUUCACUUGAAAGAGUCGUGACCACCAGUUGCUGCACUGAUUUCAUAAUGGCCUUUAGGAUUCCAGAGUGGCUCAAGGGUCACAAGGAUUUAUGAGCUUAUAUUACAGAAGAAAAAGUAUGCCUUCAAAGAUGACCAGAUAACCAGCUCCGAGAUGCCAUUGAUGCCCAGAAGUCAGAUUGCCCAGGGGCUUAUCAGGAGUGAAAGAAACAUGGAUUUCCCCUUUGCAUCUCUGAAACUCCUCCUGCAAAGCCCUUUAGCUCUACAAACACCCCUGCUUUCUUCUCUUAUUAAAGCGGAUUUGAG
RNAcentral lists this long non-coding RNA (579 nucleotides) under Equus asinus (donkey). RNAcentral describes it as "lncRNA (ENSEASG00005035513.1)". Lineage: Eukaryota; Metazoa; Chordata; Mammalia; Perissodactyla; Equidae. The record is from RNAcentral.